RNAcentral lists this ribosomal RNA (468 nucleotides) under uncultured bacterium. RNAcentral's name for it is "partial 16S ribosomal RNA". It matches the Rfam family "Bacterial small subunit ribosomal RNA", at positions 28 to 507 of the family's 1533-position model. The record is from RNAcentral.
GACGAACGCUGGCGGCGUGCUUAACACAUGCAAGUCGAACGGAAAGGCCCUGCUUUUGUGGGAUGCUCGAGUGGCGAACGAGUGAGUAACACGUGAGUAACCUGCCCUUGACUUUGGGAUAACUUCAGGAAACUGGGGCUAAUACCGGAUAGGAGCUCCUGCUGCAUGGUGGGGGUUGGAAAGUUUCGGCGGUUGGGGAUGGACUCGCGGCUUAUCAGCUUGUUGGUGGGGUAGUGGCUUACCAAGGCUUUGACGGGUAGCCGGCCUGAGAGGGUGACCGGCCACAUUGGGACUGAGAUACGGCCCAGACUCCUACGGGAGGCAGCAGUGGGGAAUAUUGCACAAUGGGCGGAAGCCUGAUGCAGCAACGCCGCGUGCGGGAUGACGGCCUUCGGGUUGUAAACCGCUUUCGCCUGUGACGAAGCGUGAGUGACGGUAAUGUGUAAAGAAGCACCGGGUAACUACGUG